Molecule: ribosomal RNA, 450 nt
Filed under: uncultured bacterium
Lineage: Bacteria
Description: partial 16S ribosomal RNA
Rfam family: Bacterial small subunit ribosomal RNA
Source: RNAcentral
CCUACGGGGGGCAGCAGUGGGGAAUUUUGGACAAUGGGGGCAACCCUGAUCCAGCCAUGCCGCGUGCGGGAAGAAGGCCUUCGGGUUGUAAACCGCUUUCGGCCGGAACGAAAUCGCCGGGGAGAACAUCCCCGGUGGAUGACGGUACCGGAAGAAGAAGCACCGGCUAACUACGUGCCAGCAGCCGCGGUCAUACGUAGGGUGCUAGCGUUAAUCGGAAUUAGCGGACGCGGAUCGCGAACAGGCGGUUGAAAUCCCCGGGCUUAACCUGGGAACUGCGUUUGUGACUGGCGGGCUGGAGUGCGGAAGAGGGAGGUGGAAUUCCACGUGUAGCAGUGAAAUGCGUAGAGAUGUGGAGGAACACCGAUGGCGAAGGCAGCCUCCUGGUCUAGCACUGACGCUCAUGCACGAAAGCGUGGGGAGCAAACAGGAUUAGAUACCCUUGUAGUC